CAUAUCAAUAAGCGGAGGAAAAGAAACCAACAGGGAUUGCCUCAGUAGCGGCGAGUGAAGCGGCAAAAGCUCAAAUUUGAAAUCUGGCGUCUUUGGCGUCCGAGUUGUAAUUUGAAGAAGGUAUCUUUGGGCCCGGCUCUUGUCUAUGUUCCUUGGAACAGGACGUCACAGAGGGUGAGAAUCCCGUGCGAUGAGAUGACCCGGGUCUGUGUAAAGUUCCUUCGACGAGUCGAGUUGUUUGGGAAUGCAGCUCUAAGUGGGUGGUAAAUUCCAUCUAAAGCUAAAUAUUGGCGAGAGACCGAUAGCGAACAAGUACAGUGAUGGAAAGAUGAAAAGAACUUUGAAAAGAGAGUGAAAAAGUACGUGAAAUUGUUGAAAGGGAAGGAAAGUGAGAUCAGACUUGGUAUUUUGCAUGCUGCUCUCUCGGGGGCGGCCGCUGCGGUUUACCGGGCCAGCAUCGUUUUGGUCGCAGGAUAAUGGCGGAGGAAUGUGGCACGGCUUCUGCUUUUUAUAGCCUCUGACGAUACUUCCAGCCUAG
This 538-nucleotide ribosomal RNA is filed under the name Candida albicans. RNAcentral's name for it is "eukaryotic LSU rRNA". It matches the Rfam family "Eukaryotic large subunit ribosomal RNA", at positions 39 to 585 of the family's 3401-position model. The record is from RNAcentral. Lineage: Eukaryota; Fungi; Ascomycota; Pichiomycetes; Serinales; Debaryomycetaceae.